RNAcentral lists this long non-coding RNA (572 nucleotides) under Linum usitatissimum (flax). Its description in RNAcentral is "long non-coding RNA (LUSI_LNC001868)". The record is from RNAcentral. Lineage: Eukaryota; Viridiplantae; Streptophyta; Magnoliopsida; Malpighiales; Linaceae.
CAUAGCAAAACAGAGAUUGUCUUUUUUCUUAACUAAAGCAAACUUGAAACCUUAAAGAGUCCACAAACUAAAAAUGAAGAAACAAACAACCAAAAGGAACCCACCAAACCCUAUCUUUUUGUAUAGAGAUUCUGUGGAUUAGGACAAGCUCCCUAACCACCAUCAAUAGAGACAAUUGAACCCAAACCCAAAACCCAAGCCAACCAACCCAAAAGUUCUACACUACUUAUAGAACCCUUCUAAUUUCUCUAGCAAAAACCAAAACUUGAUCAGCACGCAGCUUUGUCCUCAGGCUUCACAUCCUUAUCAGCUGAUGCUCCUCCAGCGACGGCCGAUUCGUUCUGUUCCGGCAGCCUAGCCUCGCCGUUGAUCUUCUGCUCGACUUCUCCAGCUGCUGCUGCUGCUGCUGAUGUCCUUGUUGGAUCUUGUUCCUUCCCCAUCAUUGCAUUUUCCAGAACCUGGAGAAAACAAACAGGGUAAGAGAGUACUGCAACGGCGAAUGAAACCCGAGAUUCAGAAGGAAGAAGCUUCGACACUAACCUGCUUCUGCAUCUUUUGCUUGGCCCUCUUCU